GGGGCGAGAGUUUGAGCGAAGAUCUUAUGCGAGUCAUCAAGAACAGCAAUAUUUUGAUCCCAAUUAUCUCUGUGAAUUAUGCUUCUAGCAAAUGGUGCCUUGAUGAACUUGUUGAAAUGAUGAAGUGCAAGAAUUGCUCAGGGCACAUAGUGUUACCUAUAUUCUACGAUGUGGAACCUGCGGAUGUGCGAGAUCAAAAGGGUCAAUUUGGAGAGGCAUUUCAUUAUUCCGGUAGGCGUUUCAAUCAAAAGUCUACCGCAGAAUGGAAGCAAGCGCUGAUAGAAGUCAGUUCCUUACAAGGAUGGCAAUUUGCUAAUGGGUAAUUCAUUCUUUAACCAGCACUUUAUUUGCUUUGACGAUGUCAACACCAGUCAAAAUGAUAAUUUUUUUAUCGAUCUGAUUCAUUCGUUUUAAGAAUGAAACUCCUUUACUAUAAAAUUUUGCCUUCCUUUAUGCAAGGAUUCUCUAACUUAUAUUUUGCUUAUUUCCGCCUACAUAAAAGCAGCGUAACUGUGUUUAUCCCUACGAAUAAGAUUUGGAUUAUUAUGAUGACUUACGCCUCUGAAAGAGCCCAAAAGAAGAAGAAGAAGAGAAGACUGUCUUAGUGGUUUAGUAAAUUAUUUUCCGGUGUAGUUCUUCCAUCUCGUUUUUUCUUUCUUACGCCGAGGAAACACAUCAUUAUUCAACUUCCUGUCAAACUCCACGUUAGAUUAAUCAACAUCAUAGAACAUAGAUACUACUCAAAAGGAAAACUAGAAAAAAAAAUGCUUCCUAUUAUGAUCCAUAUCCUUAACGGACCACAGAUUUUGAAAUUUAAUUCAGAUCCUUAAUAUGUGCAAAACUUAAAGCUUCACUAGCCUCAAAUCUUUUUCUAAUUCAAUACAUUUAGAGUAACCUUGAAAGAAUUUAUGGGUGCAUCAUGUGGGGCAACCAUAUUUACUGGUCGGUGGGGAAGAAAAACAUACACUACCAACUGGGGGUGCAAGGCAUGUGGGUACUGGUACGUUAAAAUAAGGAACGCAGCCUGGCAGGGCUCCUUAUUUGAGAACUACCGCAGUUGGCCCUUGCAGGUGGGAAACCACCCGGGUAGAGGUGAGGCAAAAGGAAGAGACAUCAACUAUCUUCCUUGAGCCAAGGAUCCAAUACACGCCCACAGAGCAGCCACGGGAUUGCUUUACCCGCUUUUAUCUUAGAGAUAAGAUAAGAAAUGGAGGUGGGAAAAAGAUUUAAAGGUUUUCCAAAUUAUCCCCAAAUUCUAUUGUUUGUGCUAUCAUUAGAAAAAAGCCAUAUCAUUUGAACUCAUUUUGUUUGACAGGCCUGCGGGACAAUUGAUGGAAUCACUUGUGCAAAAAGUUUUGGACGAGUUGAAGAAAGCAGUGGACUUGGAUGAUCUUGAGAAUUUGGUCGGAAUUGAUAGUCAUGUGGAGGAGGUUAUGAAAUUAAUAAAUAAGUGUUCUGGAGCUACCCUAUGUGUGGGAAUUUACGGAAUAGGGGGUAUCGGUAAGACGACUCUUGUUAAUGUCAUCUACAACAAGCUAUUAAAUCAAUUUGAGCAUUGUAGCUUCAUUGCUGACAUUAGGGAAUCAUGCAAUCGCAAUGGUAUUAGUUACUUGCAAAAUCAAUUAAUCAGUGAUAUAUUGCGAAGAAAUAUUCGAUUGCAUAACAAGGAUCACGGAAUCCGCAUCAUCUCAUCCAAGCUUAAAGAUAUGAAAGUCCUCAUUAUUCUAGAUGAUUUGGAAACCACCGAUCAGUUAGCGGCUUUGGCUGGAAAUCUUGAAUGGUUUGGCUCAGGAAGUAGGAUCUUUGUUAUCACUAGAAAUGAGAGGGUUCUUGAUAGGGCCAGAGUGGACAUCAAGUACGAGCAUGAGGAAAUGGGUAUGGAACAAGCUCUGAUCCUAUUUUCUAGACAUGCAUUUCGAAGUGACUUUCCUCCUAGUGAGUUUUCAAUUCUCACUCAUAUAGUGGUAUCUACAAUAGGAGGGCUUCCCUUAGUUCUCAAGGUUGUAGGUUCAUUUUUGUGUGGAAAACCAGCAGUGCUAUGGGAAAAAACAAUAGUUAACAUGCGAAAAAUACCGCAUGAGGAAGUGGCAAGAAAGUUGAUGGUAAGUUAUGAAGAAUUGGAGGAGGAUCAAAGACAAAUGUUCCUGGAUAUAGCUUGUUUUUUAAUUGGGAGUGAUGUAAGAGUUGCCUACUACAUGUGGGAUGCUUGGGGCUUUUUUGCGAGGCAAGGAAUUGAAGUACUGAGAUCUUUGUUAUUCAUAAGUAUUGGAGAUAAUCACGAGUUCAGAAUGCAUGACCAAAUGAGAGAUCUUGCCAGGGAAAGUGUGCUUGCAGAAUACUGCUGCAAACCUCAUAAACGUAGUAGAUUGUGGCAUUACGAGGAAGCCUUGGAAGUGCUACAGAGCAAAAGGGUAACUUUAUAUUUUUCUUCUGCUCCCGUAGUAGUCUAUGUUCUCUUGUUUUAAAUGACGUUAAUGUGCUGGUAUUAUUUUAUUGACGUGAUUAGGAAAGCAGGUUGCUCCUUCUUAGUUUGUGCUGCAGUUUUCCGCCUUUGUAGUUUAGAAAGUCAUGGCCAUUGACAGAGAAUCCAUUCACGAACAUAAUGUAGAAAACUGACCGGCAAAUACUUAAAUGCAGACUUUUCCAUUUUCUAUAUUGAGAGAGACAAAAUAACUGACCCAGGUAAGCCAUAAUUAAAAAGUACGCUUUCCGGUGAAGCCUAAUUUAACUGAUGUGCGUCUUAUCUUGUUUGGUUGUCAUCUGACAUUUAUGAGCUUAUUAACUGUAUCCAAAAUUAUCAUCCUCAUUAAUUUUGAAAUUUAGUUAAUGCAACUGAAAUAGAAUUAUCAGUCGCCUUCAUUGAUUUAGUAAGUUAUACACACCAGUUGUUUUGUUAUAUUCGUAAAUCACUUGUUCAUGCUCAUUUAUAUAUCAUCUUAAAGACUUUGAUAGGAAUAUUCAGGGAAGAGAAAAGGGGGAAAAUCCCUAAAACGUACAAACUCCUCUUCCUUCAUGUGAUAUUACAGACGUGUGCGCUCCUUUUUUUUUUUUUUUUUUCCACUAGUCAGAGAGCACACAGAUUGUUUGCGAAGACAAAAGGUUAAGAGAAUAAGUAACGAAAAAAUUACGUUUGUAGAUUUGAUUUAUUUUGGAAUGACCGUUUUCAAUCGGAAAUUGAAAAUUUUUAAAUUUAAUUUUUGAAAGUGUCGGUGAAAUUGAAGAACCACCUCGUAAUUAUCUCGAUAACUUUUAGUUAGGGUUUUAUCUAUUGUUUAAUGAUGGCAUCAAUAAAUUGCAUGGACUUUUAUGGAAGAUUUUAGGUAUGAGUUUGAAACUGAAAAUUGAUAUCGAGUUUACUGUAUAUUAAGUAGAAAUAAUUGAUAUUAUUUCACUGAGUUGGUAAGAUGCAACAUUUGUGAUCCUUGGUUUUGUACUUGUAGGGAACUGGAAGGAUUCAAGCCAUUUGUCUUGAGCAAGGCAACUCUAAUUAUAUAAUUGAUCAAGCGAGCCGCACAUUUACGGAUGAACCAUUUAGAAACUUAUCGAACUUGAGGUUUCUUCACAUGAAUGCUGUGAAUCUUGUCGGAGAUUUUAGUAAAUUAUUUUCUCAGUUAAGAUGGCUCAAAUGGGGGAAUUGUCCCUCAAAUUUUGAAGCAAGCAACUUUCAUGCGGGGGAAUUAGUCAUACUCGAUUUGUCAGGAAGCGCAAUUUCAGAUGUCUGGCAAGGAUGGCAUUCAAUGAUGGUAUGAUAUAAAAAUAUAAUCUUUUGCGUUUUUUUUUUUUUUUAGUGGGAACAACUCAUUGCUGACCCCAUGAUAUAUUCUUUCUUGCAGAAGGCAGAAAAGCUGAAAGUUCUCAAUCUCACAAGUUGCCAUUCCUUAAAAGGGACUUCUUACCUCUCAGCUUUUAAAAGAUUGGAGAUUUUGAUCCUCAGAGAUUGUAGCGCAUUGGAGCAAAUUGAUAAUUGUAUUGGAGACAUGGAGAACCUCAUUUCCCUGGACUUAAGUGGAUGUUCUCUUCUUGAGAGGCUCCCGCUUCAAAUGGCUAAAUUAGAACAGUUGAAGGAGCUUCUUCUAGAUGAAACUGCAAUACAAGAAAUUCCUUCCUUCAUCAGUUCUCUAAAAAAGCUGGACACUUAGUGCCAGGGAUUGCAAAUCAUUAAUUGGACGUCCGGUCUCAAUAGGCAGUUUGGGGAAUUUGUCGACCCUUGUUUCAUCAGGCUACGUUGAGAUUGCAACACUUCCGAACGGCAUCGGAUUCCUUGAGAAUUUGUGGUGCUGGUCAUUGGGAAGCUGCCACCAAUUGAGAGAGAUUCCCAAUUCGAUUGGCAAGUUGAAAUUGUUGACUAGGUUGGACUUGAGUGGAUGUUCGCGUAUUGUGGAGCUGCCGCUUCAAAUGGGUGAACUAAAACAAUUGAAGAAACUACUGCGAUACAAGAAAUUCCUUCCUCCAUCGUUUCUCUAGAGAAGCUGGAGGAAGAUCAAACUAUGUUUUCUGAUAUUCCUUCCUACACGGACUAUCUAUUGGAGCUAGAGACGCUCAUUCCCAAGGACUGCGAAUUAACUCGAUAAGCUGUUUAGUGAAUUUGCUGACCCUUCUCUUAUCAAGCUGUGUGGAGUUUUUUGGAUUCCUUGACAUCAUUGGGUUUCUUGUGAAUCUACGGUGCUUGUCAUUGGGAAACUGCCAUGAAUUGAGAGAGAUCCCUAACUCAAUCGGGAAGUUGGAAUUGUUGACUCAACUGGACUUAUCAUGGACAAGGAUCACGGAAUUGCUUGAAGGAACUUCUGGGUAUCCGUAACAGUAGCAUAGAAACGCUACCGAUGGUAUUGGAAGGUUGGAAAAAAGUCUUGAGUUAUAUGCAUGAUGGUGCUCAAAUUUGGGAGGGAAUACCAAGCAUCCUUAAUCUUUCUUCUUUCAAGCCUUGUGCAUUUUGAUUUAAUGCCCAAUAAUCUGGAAUUCUUGUGGAUUUUUAUUCAAAUGAGUGGUUUGUGAUUUAGGUUUGGGUUUUCAUGAUGAAGUGGAAGCUGCAAUGUCAUUUCUGAUCUCUGCUCAUGGUGAAGUUUAGGAACCUGUUGGUGCUGUUGACGAUAGUGUUAUCUGCACAGCUUCCUUAAAUGGCGCCCUAUCUACUGCAGAUGCUCGGAAGAUUGUUAGAAGCAGCAGUAUUGAAUAACAUGGUGAUUCGUAACGUCUGGAAAUUACAGAUUGUUCAGCAGAAAAUUUGGUAUUUUUUAAAAAUAUUUUCAGGAAGGUAUUUUCCUGAAAAAUGAGAACAUUUUGUGAGUGGCCGAAAUGUAAAAAUGAACUGUCAAUUAUUUUCCUUCAUUUGAAAAGGAAAACUUGAUUUUACUUUGUUAAAGAGAUGUGCAUAAGGGAUACCUAGCAACAAGGGUUUCAAUUGUAGGAGUCGGGGUUUCUCUAUUGCAGAAAACAAGCGAUUGGAAGAGAAAAUAAAAAGAGAAGGAAACAAAUCACAUACCAAAUUUAUGUGAUUUGUCUGGCAAGACUUAUUCUUUGAAGAGAGGACCAAAUGAUUCUACUACAGAUCAAAUAAUACAAUGGAGAUCUCAAACGCAUUCGAGUCACAUGACUACUCUCAAUACAUCUUAACUCACGAUCACAUCUAAAAACUCACACAGUGUUCAACCUUCAUAAUAAGAAAAUAUCUCAAAGGAUAUAACAAAUCUUAUCAAAACACUUGCAAUUUCUACAUGAUGUGAUUCAUGAAAAUGUAGUCUCUAUGAUACUUUUUACUAAAAAUCAUUAAAUAAUAUCAAUUUAAUUUUUUUUCAUCAAUUUUAUUUUAUGAUUUUGUGGAUGCAAGUCACCCAAGCCAAUACCAGAAUUAUCUAGAAGAUCAUUGUCGAAACGGUGAUUCCUUUGAUGCAAUGAUGUACAGGCAGAGACGUGUGACAAAAGUUGCGAAGAUCCCUAUUUUCUUGAUAAAGGCAUGUGAAGCAGGUAAGUCAUCUUUUUUUUUUUAAAUUAAAAUAAUUUAAUUAUGUUUUGUUUAUUUUACAAAAAAUAAUUAAAAAAAAUAUUAUUCGAAUUUUUCAGCAUUUAAUUUAUGAAAAAUAAACUAAUUAGGGAAAUAUUUUCCAUCAAUGGAAGAAACAAUUUCAAAAAUUGAGAAAAUAAUUUCGUUUUCUGAAAAGAGAAAUUCCAUUUUCCAUUCUCUUUCUUUCACCUCUAGACCAAUCACUUUCAUUCAUCCACUAUGAUUUCGAAUAUAAUAUUAAGUUGAAAAAUUGUUGAUGAAGUGCAAGAGGUGACAAAGAGGAAUCUCUUUAGUUAGGGUGUAGCAAUAAAGCAAAGGCAUUGGCUAAACAAAGUCAAUGCCAUUUGUGAGUAUUCACUAGUUAUAGGACAUUGUGUUGUGUACAAGGAAGUACUAAAUAGUAUCUUGAUCGGAACGCGUGACCUGAAAUAUAGUCGACAAAUAAACAAUAUGAUUGGCCGUGAGAAGCCAAUAAAACUAAGUUCACAAGGGGGGAAUAGUUUACAUUUAUCGAUUGAUAGACGAAUUGAUAUCAAUCGAGUCAAAAAGUACUGACAUCAAUUCACUAAGUUUGAAUGAAAUCAAAUCGAUUAGAAGGACAAAAAUAGCUGGAACAAUUAUCAAAGGUUUGAUGGACAAUUGCGGUCAAGCAUUAAUUGAAGUUGAGUCAAUUAGUUGUUGCAGUCAAGCUCCCAAGGGGAUCAAUAAUACCAUCAAAUAUGGAGCCGAAAUUUGAUUUCAAUGAGUGAAAAUGGUUAUUAUGAUAGGCUAGCCACCCAUGGAGUAUGCAAAGAGCGCAUGAGGAAAUGAUGCGCACAAACAUCCGAAAAACAAGAUUUACUUCUGUCAAUGCACUUCUUUACAAUUUAUUUUCACUCGUUUCACAGCGAUUUAUUUCUUAUCAUGCUAGUUGUUUAUUUCUAUUUAUCCAUCAACAAGUGCCCUCAUUCUUUUGGAAAGACGUGUUGUCAUCAGUCGAUUCAUUUCAUCAGUUUAAAAGCCCAUUCAUCAAGUGUUUGGUGCGUGGUUCCGUCAAAUUAACGUACAAGAACUGUGAUGUUUGACUAGGAUUGUUGAUCAAUCAGAGCGGAAUAAUUCCUUAUGUCGAGUCAAUGAAACGGAGAAGUUUUUGAGCUUUGAACUGGAUUGGCACAGACUUGGUUAGUGAUCCUCACUGUAAUUCCUACUCACUAUCAUAGGAGCAAGUGGUCACUUGUGAAUUCUCACCACACGUCGUGCUGAUAGGAUUUACAGCUUUGAUUCAUCAGUAAAUCCAUUUGAUAUUUGUCUGCUAAACUUUGUUGUAGAACUUAAGAGUUUCUUACUUAAGGAAGUCGUCGUCGGAGUUGGCUUGGAAUGGAUAUAUCCACUAGGGGUGUCAAUAGUUCGGUUCGGUUCGAUUUUUUUGAAAAACCGAACCAAACCGAACCGAAUCGUUAGAAAAAACUUCCAAACCGAACCGAAUGAGACCUGAACCAAACCGAAAUUUUGGUUCGGUUCGGUUCAGCUUUUCGGUUUUUGGUUUUCAGCUUUUGGUUUUUGUUUUUUUUUUUUUCUGUUCAACUCAAAAUAAUCUAAAUUCAAUAUGUUAACUUCAAGCUUAAAGGAUUUUGCAAUUUAGAUCAUAUACUACAUUCCCUUUUUCAAGCAUUGGCCAAGUAAUGAUAUCCAAUUUAAACAAUUGUUUAACAUAAUCAAUUGAGACUUGAUUGAGGCUUUUUUGAAAUAGUGCGAGUGGCCCUGCAAAGAAACUACUUGGGAGAUCAUACACAAAAAUGGAUUUCAAGAAGGAAAAAGAAGAAAGUGAGAACAUGGCAUUUGAAAGUCGUGAAAAAUCACAAUUUUGAGAAGAUCACAAAAAAAAGAAAAAAAAAAAAAGAAAAGAAGAAUAAGCGAAAGGUGAGCUUCACUUGGACCCGUGUCAAUUAACUAAUGAACUAGAAUAUUAGCUAAGAGGCACAACUAAAGCCUGCAAAGUUUUAAUGUACGCAUUAGUAUUACGAUCAUAUAGCUGAUAGAUUGGUUGGGGGUAAAUGCUCGCCUAUUUAUUAUUCGCAGCUAAAUAUUCUAAGAAGUUUAAGUUAAUGAACUACCGUGUCAUUUUUUUUAACAUGAUAUGAUCUAAACACUUUUUAACACAUUUAAUAUUAAGCUUCAAAGGACUUUUUCAUUCAUUGUUUCUUGUACCCUACUAAAACCAGGUCUCUUUUCAUUUUCUUUCAAAUCAGAGGCUGAAAAUCAGAAAGUGCUAGACUCAGGGCCUUGGUCAUUUUCUAGCAAUCUCUUAGUGUUACAGCAAUGCGACCCAGACACUCUAGAAAUGUGUUAUGAGUUCAUCCAUUGCCCAUUUUGGGUGCAUCUUUAUGGACUCCCAUUUGGAAGAGUAUCAAAUGAAAUAGUGAAAGAGAUAGCCUCUAAACUUGGGGAGGUUAUAGAUGUCAAGCUGGAAGCAAAGGGGAGCAGCAAUUAUAAAGUAGGCAAAGCUAGAGUAAUUCUGAAUCUGGCUAAUCCCCUCAAGACAGGCAUUGUUAUCAACCUAGGAAAUAAAAACCUAUGGAUAUAAUUUAAAUAUGAGAGACUCCCACAUUAUUGUUAUUCUUGCGGUAAGAUUGGGCAUUAUGCCACGGCCUGCAAAGAAAUACCAUAUGAGCAGUCAGGGUUAGAGGAAAACUUGCCAGGCAAUUUUGGGCAAUGGCUCCGAGCGGAAGUGAAAGAAUUGAGUCCUUACGGGAAAAUAUUCUAUGGUAAACAAGCUGAAACCCAAACAGCACAAGGAAUGGUCCCUGAAAAUCCUAUUCCUACUACAACUGAAGAGGUUUAGAAGUUGAAAGAGGUAGCUGCGAAGCCUAGCGGGCCAUUUUGUGGACAUCAGCUCACUAUGGAGAAUGCUGAGGAGGAGGGUGAGAACUCCUCCUCUCCAUUAGCAAUUAUGUUAGUUGAAGAUAAAGGUACACAAAAGAGAGGUAGUAGUUGCUUAGAUGAUGAGUCUACUAUGGUGCUAUAUAAAGAACAAAUGAGGGAACUUGAAGCUGAGAUGCUAGAAAUCCUAGAAAUCUCACACAACCUAAUAAGGUGCAAAGCAAAAGGUACCAAACUAACCACAUCAAAAAAGGGAAAGGGAUUUUUCUCUUAUGGUGCGCAUUCUUCCAAAUUAGUAUCUUUAGACAUAUCACAACUAGUGGAUAACCCUAUCAUAGUGGAGGAGAAGGAAAUUAAGUGGGCUUUGGUGGCUAGCCCUAAUAGACCACUGGGUAACCCAUGAAGCUUCUGAGUUGGAAUUGUCAGGGGUUGGGCUCACCCUUGACAAUUCAAGCAUUGCGAGUCUUAGUGACUCAGGAAAGGCCCAGCAUAAACUUUUUAAUGGAAACAAAAAAUCAAGAGCAAAUGGUGCUAAAGCUACGAAGAAGGCUUAAGUUUCAAAACAGCUUCCUAGUAAAUCCCGUAGGAAUUGCUAGGGGCAUGACUAUUUUCUAGGAUGACUAGGUAGAUUUUUCAGUUGAAUCACAUACAAAUAACUUAAUAAACAUGCAUUGCCAACUUCAUGAAAGCAGACAGCUCAUGAAAAUCACCAACCUACAUGCCCCAAAUGAUUUCAAAGAAAGAGUACUCUUAUGGGAGGAUAUACAAAAAGCAAGUGCUGCAAAUUUCCUACCAUGGCUAUGUAUGGGUGACUUCAAUGAAAUUUUGUACCAUUGGGAGAAAGUGGGUAAAAAGAAGGCAGAACAUUUUCGACUCACAACGUUUAGAGAUUUUCUUCAUGCUUGUUCUCUGAUGGAUUUGGAAUGGAAGGGGUGUGCUUUACUUGGACUAAUUGAAGAGAAGAAGAUGAAUUUGUAAAGAAGAGGCUGGACAGGGCUCUAUGUUCAAUGGAGUGGAGGGUUGCUUAUCCAAAUGUUGAAGUAGUAGCCCUACUAGCUAUUGGCUUUGACCAUAGCCCACUAAUAUUGUCAAUCUCCCCAAAGAAUGAACGCAGGAGGAAGGAGUUUAGAUAUGAAGCUUUUUGGGCAGAAGAUGAGGAGUGCGAGCACAUUGUAAAGAGAGCUUGGUCCAAUUUAGAAUCUCCUAGAGCAAAUAUAGCAAGGAAACUCAAUCUAAUGGCUAAAUAACUUGCUGAAUGGAGCAAAAAACGCUUCCCCAAUGCACAGAAAAGAAUAUUAUGGCUGAAAAAUGAAUUCCAGAAUUUGCAAAAUAGUCCUGAAAUACAUGGGGAUAGUCAAAGAGUUUAGCAAAUGAAUAAAGAGAUCGAAUCCUUGUGGAGACAGGAGGAGAUGUUUUAGGGAAUGAGAUCUAGAAUUAGCUGGCUGAAAUAGGGUGAUAGAAACACAAAGUUCUUUCAUGCAACAACCAUAUAAAGGAGAACUAGAAAUCGUAUCUCUAUGCUCAAGAAUGCAUAAGGGGAAUGGGUUAGAAAUGAGGAUAAUCUCAACGAAAUGACAGGCACUUUCUUUAAUAAUCUUUAUACGUCGAUGGGUUCCCGAAAUUUCCAGCCUAUCCUAAGUCAAAUCCCUAGCUCAAUUGACGCAAUUAUGUACCAAAAGCUGAUUGAACCUGUUACUAUGGAGGAAAUUACUACCGCUACUCACCAAUUAGGAGCUACUAAAGAUCCAGGGCCGAAUGGUUUGAAUGGGUUAUUUUUCUAGCAUCAUUGGCAGGAAAUUAACCAGGAUAUCUUUAAGGAGGUACAACAAUUCUUUGAUACUGGACAAUUAAACCCAGACUUAAACAGAACCCUUAUCACCUUCAUCCCCAAAAACCCAAACCCCGAAAAGCUAGAACAAUUCCGCCCAAUUAGCCUAUGCAAUUUUGCUUAUAAAAUUAUUUCCAAAAUCCUUACAAACAAGCUGAAACAUUUGCUUCCAAACCUAAUUACAGCAGAACAAAGUACUUACAUGGGGGGCAGGCAGAUUCAAGAUAAUAUUCUGAUUGGCGACUCUCGGUUGUCGUGAAAAUCUUGAGAUUUCAAAUACGAACACAUGGUACAUAAAUGACAGAAAAAUCGGUCUAGUGCCGUUCGACGAGAAUUUUGUAAUUAGGUAGAAUCACCCACACACUAAUCACAUACUUCUGUUGAACCGACCUAUCUCCGGUCUCUAGUUGAUUUUGACAAUGCCGUAAUGACCAUUGCAGAUUAGCACAGUCAAACAGUUGAUCCUGGUCGAAUUCUCGAGUCUAUUGCGUUUAGAUUCCUUAAUGGCUUCACCUGAUAGGUUAGUUAUCUCAUGAGUGGCCAACUUAGAGAAAAGAAAUAUUGGCGUGUUGAUGAAAAAUCCAGCUUUUUCAAUCGAAAACAGAACCUGAAAAUCAGGAUGUCACAGGCAAUACUCCUAAACCUAUUCCCUCCCCCGAGGGAUAGGUCACGACAUUAAGCUAAAACUAAAUUCAGUCCCUAUAUUUGUCACGCCCCGAUCCUCGGACGCGCGCACAUCCUUCUACUUGGUCGAUUUUAGAAUGCGAUAUCCCAGGACUAUGUAUCGCCGACCCUUUCUUUUUAUUAAGCACAUGCGGAAGCAAUUAUAAAUCCCCAGACAAUAAAACAAUGGGAUAGGAAAGUAGGCCAUAUUUUUCAUAUUGAAAUUCAUAACCACACUUUCAUUAACAGCACAACUCAUAGUAUAUUUACAAUACUAUUUACAGCAUAAAAGUCUGACACCUAUCUACACUGAAACAGGGUUCACAAAAGGGAUGGGAUCCCAAUCCACAUCUGGGUUAUUUUCAAGAUCCCUCUCUGGAUCAUCUUCUACUUCAAAAUACUUUCUCCCCUUCAGGUUCCUCUUCCUUAGCUCCUCCUCAGGGUCCUGAAAUGAUUAUUCAAUAACCAAUGAGACCACGUCUCAGCGAGUCCUACCCACUAAGACCCGAUUAAUAAACUAAUACGCCAUACGGUUGCCUAAGCACAACACGAGUCAGAGGACUUACCUUGGCCUCAGUUCCAACCUGCAAUUCAAGGUUAAACACAAGUAUUCAAACAAUUCACGACAUUCGAUCAAGCACUGGCCAAUCGACUAAGUCGAUUACAUGUCAAUUAGACCCUCUCUAGGUCAUUCCCACUCAUACCACGCUUUCUCAGUGGUGUACUCAUUCACCAAAUCACAUGUGUUUCUCGGGCGUCGUUUUCGCCAAUGACAUACCGAUCACCGACACCGUGCGUUCUUUAAGGCGCCGUUUUCACCAGUGAUAACCUUGAUCACCGAACCACGUGUCCUUUCAAGGGCGUCGUUUUCGCCAAGGUGACAUCGGCUAUAGACAACAUCGUGCGUUCUUUAAGGCGCCGUUUUCACCAGUGAUAUUCCCAUAAUCACCGAACCACGUUUGUCUAUAAGUCAUUCACGUGCGUUCUUUAAGGCGCCGUUUUCGCCAGUGAUACUUCCAAUCACCGAACCACGUAUGUCCAAUAAUAUCGUACCUGAUUGGUCUCACCAUUCUCCCUACUAUAUAGCCCAUCAACGUACUGGCGCUAUAUACCCAUGCUUGGCCAUUACCAAUCAAAUAUUCAAUAACAAACAAUUUAGGACAAUUCCUAAAAUUCCACAAUAAAUUCAAUUCCACACAACGUAGAACUCAAAUAAAUAAACAGUCUGCACCACGACAAUCGGCACGAAAUUCCGGUCACCGGCCAUCCCGGUUGAAUUUCCGGAAAAAUAAUUAAUAAAAUAAAUAAAUUUCGAAAAUAAAUAAAUAAACAUUAAAAAUCCAAUUUAGGCCUAUAUUGCCUUAUUGGAGCCCGAAACGGGUCGGGAAAAAUCCCGAGAUGCAUUCAAUAAAUAACCAAACAUUUCUACUUGCUAAUAGCUAGGUCUAACCACCUAACAUGCAUCGUUAAGUCACUAAAUUAAAUGUUCUAACCUAAUCUAACCACCUAAGUGCAUGUAAUUAAAUCUAACCAACCUUAAGACAUAAUUAGCAAACUAAUAAAGCAUUAGUGAGUAAAACUCACUUGGCAAAAGCGGAGACCGAAUCACCGCGACGGCGGCCGAAAUCGAACUUUCGACAACACCGGCGGGCUUGGGACCGGGCCUUGACCUUGGCCCAACAAAUCUCAGCCCAACUGAGAUUUGUUCUUGCUUUUGGGCCAGACCCAAGUUGAAUUGGGCCUGCUGAAAUUUCUGGACUGACUUCACUUGGGCUUCAAAUUUCUUUGCUGGAAAUUGGGCCUCCAAUUUCAGUUGAUGGGCUGCUGAACUGGGCUUGACUAAUUACUUCACUUGGAUUGAACUGGGCUUGAAGAUUGCAGGAGAUGGGCCUUAAUAAAAUUCUGCUGAUGGGCUGCUAUUGGUGAGAUUCGAUUGGGCUGACUUGCGGGGCUUGUGCAGAAGCUUCGCUGGGCUGAAGAGUUGGGCCGCAAUCCACGAAGAGAUUUGCGUGGGCUGCUUCGGUCUUCGCUGGAGGGUGCUGCGACUUCAGCCAGUCAAUUGCUUCAGCAAUUGAGUUACACGAAGGAGAAAUGGAGGCCACGUGAACGAGGCAGCAAGCGGGGAUUCAAUGAAAUCAACGGUGGAGGAAAUUCUCGGGCAGCUUGCUAGCUUCUGUGGCCGACCAACCUCAGUGGAAUCGGGGCUUCAAGCGGUCAACCAAGAGCUCCAAUUGAAGCUGCGUGGAACUUGGGUCUUCGUGGGCAGAAGGCGCGAACGAGGGAGCAGCUUGGGUCUUCAUGGAGUGCAUUAGCACCGACGUGGCAGCUUCACGAGAUCAACAAAGUGGGACGGUUCUUGCUGGAGUUGACCGUGGAAGCUGCAGCUUGGCCGCGUGGCUGAAGAAGAAGGUUGCUGGGCUUCUUCGUUGGCGUCGUGGGGUCUUCGGUCAACAAACCGAAGCUUGUUGCUGGAGUUUGACCCACGGAGCAAGUCGGAUGCGCGGAGGCUGAGGGACGCGCGGAUGAAAGGAGUUGUAACUGCUGGCGGUUCAAUUUGUUGGCUUCUCGGUGGAUCGUGGCUUCAAGGGUCAACAACUUGAUGAAGCUGACCAAGGUUGCGGUAGUGGAAGUCUUCGUGGCAACAAAGUGGAGGAAAGCUGGAGCUGCAACAAACGGUGGAGUCUUCGUGGACGAGGAAGUAGCUGGUUGGCGUGGCUGCAGGUCUUCGUGGCUGUUGGCAAGGCAUGAACGAAGAUGUUGGACUUUGGGAUUCGGUGGCAGCGCGAGAGAGAAGCAAAUCGUAGACGGGGCUUCGGUUUUCUCGAGUGAAAGAGAGGAAGAUGAAGGGGAAACCGCACGAAGAAAAUGAAAAGGUAGAGAAGCAAUUCACGGCAGCUUGGGAAGAGGAUGAGGAAGAGGUGGGCCUUAGCUUGAUAUUUUGCAAGAAUAUCCUCCAUGAAUCACUCUUAGCCAAGUAAAAACACUUGGCCUUCAUUAGACCAUCCAAAUGACCCCCAUAACCUCUCAACUAGUCCAAAAAUGCUAGAGUGAGGGGAUGAUACGAAUUUCACCAUUUGAACUUCAAUUUCUCCAAUAAAUUCCCAAAUUGAGGUCCAAUUUCGACGUAGAAAAAUCCCAAGAAAUUUUCUAUAAAUCUCCGACACACACAGGCUCAACCCAAAAGUCAAAUUUCCCAUUAAUUUAGCCAAUCUGAACUUCGGCCAAAUUUCCGCGACGUCCGAAUCCAAUUUCCGUAAAAUUUCCCGAAUCUCCGAAAAUUUUCUGAGACUGAGUCGAUGCUCCUAAAAUUUAUUGUGACAUGGCCAAAACUUCAAUUUCUGAAAUCGGACUCGAAUUGGCGGUUAAUUUUCAUUCGGCGCGUUUUUAGCGUGACCUAGACUAUCGGGUAGUUUUCAGAACUUUUUAAGGCAAAUGACCCGUGGUCGAUUUUCUUCGAGCCACUAUAAAUCCACUCGACUCAAUGGUGACUCUUGAUUGUCGUGAAAAUCUCGAGGAUUCAAUUACGGACACAGGGUACCAAAACAAUAAGAAAAUCAGUCUAGUGUCGGCCGAUGAGAAUUUUCUAAUUUAGUGGUGUCACCCACGAUUAGCCACACAUCUCAGUCGAACCGACCUAUCUCUGAUCUCUAAUCGAUUUUAUACUGCGCCGCAAUGGCCUCUAAAGAUAGACAUGGUCAAGAAGCCGAUUCCUGAUCGAGUUCUCAAGUCUAUUGCCUUAAAAUUCCUUAAUAAUUUCCCCAGCUAGUCUAGUUAUCUCGAGAGUGAUCGGCUCUGAGAAUAACCCUAUAGACGCGUCAAUGAAAUGCCCGAUUAAUUCAGUAGAAGACAGGGUUGAAAAUUUGGGAUGUCACAAUAUUUGUGAUGGCUAAAUAUACUAGCCUCUAAACCGAAGUAUACCUUUUGGUUCCAUACUAUUAAGAAGGAUAAAUUUUAGGGCUUUGUUACAUGGUUUUAGUGUCACAGCUUUUUUUUUUUUUAUAAUGAAAACUCAAUUACUUUUGUCUUAUUUUCAUUGAUAAUCAUAUGAAAAUAUGAAAUUAAGACUAAUUAUUAAUUGGUGAUUUCUACAUUUAGAAAUUUGCCUGACUUGAUUGACAUUUCCAUUAAGAAUAAUUUUACACCGUAUGCAACAAUUGCAUCUUUAUUUUCAGUCCAAAUCCGUAUACACAAAUUCAGGACUAUUCUUUGGAAAAACAGAGACACUUUUAAAUCUUCUAGCUACUACUUAACUCACUAUUUAAUAGGCAAAAUAUUUUGAAAAGUUAAUCGGAAUUCUUUCAAUUCUAGCAAUCCUAACAAGUUCGCAUGACGUUGAUUGUAAGGGGCUGUUGGUAUAGGGGGGAAGGCUAUUAGUAUCAAUUGUCAAACUCAACUCUAAAAUAUUAAGGGCCUUUACAAAAAGCUCCUUCAAUUAUCGGUAAUAAAACAACCAAUAGCAAUUAUAAACACUUACACACACAUAAAUGUGCGUGCAUCAAAUUGAAAAUCCACGUCAUUUAAAUUUGAGUUAAAAUGGAAAUGUGAAAAAUCAUACUUAUGGACACGAACUAAUUUUGUUGCAAAAAUAAAGUACAUGGGCUACAAGUCUACCUUUUCCAUCUUUUUUGGUGGUCCUAAGCAUGUUCGACUAUAAGAAGAGUAGAGAAAAUAGAGCUAGACCGAAUUGUGGUCGUGCUGAGAAGUACUAUGACUUGUAUUUUUGGUAAUAUUUAUUAUAAAAUUACAAUACCUAAAAAUUGGAUUAAGUGAAUGUAAGUUUAAUAUAAUAUUUUAUUAUUGAUAUUGCUCUAUCAUUUGAGUAAAGUAAACGCAAUAUUAACUGAAGAGGAUUUGUAUAGGUUAUCAUUAUCCUUUUCUAGUGAUGAUGCUCGAAAGCAUAUAAUUUAUUAUGUAUUUUUAAAGAAGGUAGACUUUUAUCUAGUGUUUUCAUUUUCAAACAGAUUGAGAAUUCUAGUUUAUACCACUUCCUAUAAUAUUUUAAUUCAUUUCUCUAAGCACUCCUAUCUUUCUAAUUUGAACCUGGAAGUAGUUUUCAUAUGAAGGAAGAUCACCCAAAGUAAUCUAUUUUGCAAAAAGAGAAGGCCAUCAUCCGCAUUAUGAAAUGGUAGGAAAUACCCUUGUCUUAAAAACACCCUUGGCGUGCAUGUAUGUGUUACACACAUAUUAAAAUAGAUCAUAAAUAUAUUUCUUAAUCCAUAGAUGAUAGACUGAGUUAUUAUAUGCGUUAAUUAUAUUCAAUAAAUAUGUUAUAAAUAGAUUUAAAUAUAAUAUUGGUGUUAAAUGUGUUAUAAAUAUGUUUAUAACUUACUUAAACCAAAUCUAUCUCUAUAACUUUUUCUUCAUUCUCUCUCGUCCUCAUUUGAUAUUGUGUUCACUCACUCCACACUCUUACUCCAAUUUGGGUAUAAUUUUUUUUUUCUAGAUUUGGUUAAAUAUGAAAUAUUUUAACAAUAUGAGUUAGAUUGGAUAUGAGCCAGAUUAGGUACGAGUCCUUAGAUUUGUAUUAUAUGGAAACGAGUCAAAACAUGUUAAAUGGUUCUAUUUUUGGUUCUACUUGGCCUACCCGUUUGACGGAUCUAAUACAAGAGGGAGUAUUUUUGUUUUUUUGGAAUAAGAAUUUAUAAUUCUAGCCUCACAAUUAUUUGAAUUUCGGGGGGCCCACAUGCUAAGCAUGUGUUUACAACUGUCACUCCAUAAAACACUAGGUAGGAUACUAGGGGUAAUUAGUUUUUGGUUCGAGUUAGUUUCACCUAGGAAUUGGGAAUCAGAUUGGGAGAAUCGGUACCUAGUUUUUGGGACUGAGAAUCGGAUCGGGAUAGUUAGUUCCUAGUUUUUGGGACCAUGGACUAGAUCAGAUGGUCUUGGGAUCGAGAAUCGAAUCGAAUCGACCAGUCCGAUCCAAUGAAACCUAUCACUUAGCAAAAAAAAAUUAAUUUUUUUUAAAAGGUACUAGAGUUGUCACUAUUUUUAAGAAAUAAAAAAAAGGAAUAAAUCACCAGUUCCAUUUUUAUGGAACCGGGAACUAGAUCAAUGCCCCUGGAAACCAAACAAAUUGGUUGGUCUGGUCGAUUCGAGCUGUUCUCGAUUCGAUCAAUCCAAUAUGCUCACCCCUAUAAAAUACUAUUUAAUCAAAAGAUACGUAAAUUAGAUCAACAUGCCAUUUCAUCCGGCAAUAUCAAAGUGAUUUUGGUAGUCUAGGGAUGCUCUAUUCUUCGGGCUUAAGCAAGGAAGUCGGCAGAUGAUUUUGUGCUAAAAAAGCAAAAGGUGAUCAGUGUAAAUUCACUUGCCCAUCUGCAAGAGUCAUUUGUAGUGGGCCAAGGCAUAGACAAAUUUAUAAAAAAGCGCCUUAAGGAUAUUUAUUCAACACUAAUCAAAUAAACUUUAUAAGUUUCGCCCAAGAUGGAUUUUAGUGGGUCCUUUAUAAACCACUUUCAACCCAUUUAGUAAGCACACUUUGGUCCUCCUUCGCCAAUCUCAUCUUUCUAUUCGAUUUUGUGACUCGUGACCUUCUCCUUUUGGUUACUCUACUUCUGUAAUCGUCAAGUUUUACUCAAUCUUUAACUCACACAACUACACUUCUGAGGAAACCCAAACUUUUACUACCAUUUGCACACUCCCGUCAUAACUUGACCAUCGAACUCCCUCACUAUAAUUGACAAGUUGGGUUGAUUUAUGGAGCAAUCCAUUUUUCAAAGGCAACAAUUUAAGGAAAAGUCAAUAAAACUAGAUUUUGACUUGGGUCGAGUUUGAGUCAAAUGCGAGAUGGGUAUAGAUCACUAAAUUUCUAUUGAAUAUAAAUGGAUCUAUUUGGAUUAGACAAUGUCCGACCCAACCCACCCUUUAUACUAUUUAAUGAAAAGAUUGUUAAUUAGUCCAAGUGGCUGGGAUCGAUGGGCAAUUUUACCCAGCAAUAUAAAAAGAAUCUAAUUGCUCUCUGUUUUGUGUUUUUUUCUUUUGGUAAAGUCAAAGUAGACUUUCAUUCGGUUUUGAUAACAUUUCAUUUGCACCUACCCUCACCCUGCAUCCAGAAAAGAGCUCGGCGAGUGGGUGGACAGACCAGCUAGGUUAUGCAUUCGUUCGUAACUUCGUAUUCACCCCUAGUGCAAGGAAGUUGGCAGAUGAUGUUCGUCUUAAAAGCAAAUGCAGAUCAGUGUAAAUUCAUUUACCCACCUCCAAGGGUCAUCUGUGGUGGGCCCGCACGUGCUUCCUGCAUCUUCGUCAAACAUUAUUACAUAUUUAUAUAACAAUUAUAAAUAUGCAAACCUUCGGGAAAGGAAUAAAGUAGAAACAAGACCGGUCGGCUCUGAAAAUAUAAUUUACGUUGCACGUCCCGGUGCAUCGAGCGUCGGUAUGUCCAUAGGAUUCUCCUACUUUUUUACUUUUUUAAAGUACCACAUGGCAAGAUUCGGGGAGCCAGUCCUCUUGAUCCGUUCCUUGUAUUCAUUUAACUGCAUUGCCAAGACAUAAAUAUAUCCAUAAAAAAGAAAAUUCUUUUAAUGAGUGUCUCAACAAUACAUAUUCGUCACCAAUUAAAGAAAUUUUAUAGUAUGCUUUUUUUCUAUAUAUUAUACUUAAUCAAUACCUCUAGAGUUUAUUUGUUAACUGGUCAAAAAGUAUCUAAUUUAUUUUUUUUAUUUUCUGGAAAAAAAAAAAAGAAAUUCGUUUGGUAACUUUUUUGUUCCCAGAACAUAAUCAAGAAGUAUACAAAAGUUGCUUAUUUGUUCCUAUGAUCAAUUCCAAAAUCAAACUAAAUUUUCUUCUCUCUCUCUCUCUCUCUCUCUCUCUCUCUCUCUCUCUCUCUUCCUUUUUCUCUUCUUCUUUCUCAUUACUGGUUGAGCGAGCACACCGAAGCCUCGUAAGGCUAGGGCGAGGCCUAGCGAGGGUCGACCUCGCUCAAAUCUGGUAAGGCCGAGCCUUCCCAGUCAUCAUUGCUAGCGGCUGUGAGACUCGGCCUCGCCAAGCCAGGGCAAAGAAGGCCUCGCAUUGGCUGGGUGAGGUCAAGCCUUGCCGGUGGCCAGGCAAACUCACCUAGCCACCGGCGAGGUCGUUGGACCUUGCCUAGCUGGUCGCUGAUGGCUAGCGAUCGGCUAGAGAAGAAGAAGAAAACAGAUGGAAAAAGAAAAAGACAAAAAAAUAAAAGAAAAAGAGAAAACUAUAAUAAUAGUACUAAAAAAUUAAAAGAAAUUCUAAGUCACAAAAGAAUUUGAAAUUUUAUCAAAUGCAUUUCAAUCCUAGAAGUAGAAAUUUUGGAUAAUUACUAAACGUAUUCAAAUGUUCAGAAACUCAUCUAGGGAACCGAAUAAGAAAGAAUCAUUUGUAAGCAAAAAUUAUUUUAGGAAAAAGAAUUGUCACGUCCCAAUUCUUGAGCACGCGCCCAUCCCUAACUGGUCGAUUAAAUAGCGACGUCCCAAGACGUAUUGCCAACCCAUUCAUUUUAAUAUGCAUGCAGAAGCAGAUAUAAAAUCCAUAAACAAUAAAACAAUGGGAUAGAAAAGUAGGGUCAUAAACCUCGAACCUGAAAAACAACCACACUUAAAUACAUAUACAACAAUUGAGUUAUAUAUAUACAUACAACACAAAGUAACAAGUUAGGUUCUACUCAAAGCCAGUUCAACAAAUAGGGUUUGCAAACAGGGGUGGGGUUUUUGAUCUACUCCGGGUCAUCCUCCUCGAUGAUCUCUCCUUCUUCCUCACUCUAGCUGUAGCCCACGACUGAGUACACUGGAGAAUUAGAAUCACCCUCAAGUUUGGGAUCCUUCGCAUCCACCACUGAUCCACCUUUAGGGUUUGUUGUACCCUUUCCAAACGUAACCUCCAUCACAUAUAGAGGUACAUCAAAUUUUAGUAUCGGGCCCUCUCUUCAUCCAUCAUUGUAAUGGCGAUACCAUGCCCAGUAUUCAUGGGGCACAUUUUUGGGUAAGCCCGCAUCAACCUAGAUUGUGGAUUUCACCAUUACAUACUCUAACCCUUUAGGGUGAACUCUGCUAUGUGCACUUCUUCAGUUGAUCAAAAUGCUUGGGAGGAGCUAGAAGUGUUGCCAUCUAUGGACCUGAAAUGUUAUUCCGCAACGGGGUGAGACGACGUCUCAGUGAGUUUCACCUCCUAAGAUCCGAUUAGGAAGCAAAUACGCCUUAAGGGCUGCCUAUACACACACAUGAGUCGGAGGACUUACCUUGGCCUCAGUCCCUUCCUGUCAGACAAUACAAUUCAAAUAAUUAUUCAAUCAGAUCGAACUAUCGAUCAAUCGACUCAGUCGAUUCCAUGUCAUCACGACCUUCCCUGAUCAUCUCAAUCAAUACUAUCUAUAAAGUCCGACCAUAGUUUAGGAUUGCUCACCCAAAGCUUAAAAUAGAUACUAUAGUUCACCCAAAGCUGAUAAUAUAGUAUAUUGCUCACCCAAAGCUGACAUAUCGCUCGUAGGCUGAUAUAGUAUACUAAUAAUGCUCAUCCAAAGCUAAUAACAAGAUAUACCACUCACUCAAAGUUGACAUAUGACCCGUAAGUCAAUAUAGUAUACCAUCCCAACCAUCCAACAUUUCUAUCAUUUUUAUUAUACCCGAUAAAAUAUCGUGUGUGGGUACACGGUCAGCCUUAGCCAAAAUAUAAUAAUUUUCUUUUCAUAAAUUCCAUAAUUUUCUAUAGUCCAAUAAAAUAUUUUUGGUGUUGUAAACUAAGGCUCAGUUAUUUUCCAAUCAAUUACGGAAAUUAAAUCAAUUUAAGAAUAAAACCCUAAAAUGCAAUUCAUGCACAAUAAGCACAAAUUAAAGCUCAAUUAAAUAAACAGAUUACAUCACAGUAAUCAGCAUAAAAUUCCAGUCACCGGCUAUCUCGGUCUAAUUUCCGAAAAAUAAAUAAAUAAUUAAAUAAUUACGGAAAUUAAUUAUUAAAUACCGAAAAUGCGACUUAGGCUCAAAAAAGCCUAAUUGAAUGCCGAGAUGGACCCGGAAAAUUUCCAAAUUACUCUAGAUAAAUAUUAGAGCUUGUCUAGGCCCUACUUGCACUAACUAUCCACCUAAUAUGCAUUGGUAAAUAAUUAAAUUCACUAAUCUAAUCUAACUAUCCACCUAAAUCAUGGUUAACCUAAACUAAUCAACUCUUAAGCAUCAUUAACCUACUAAGCGAGGAUUAGUGAGUUAACCUAAACUAAUCCUCUCUAAAGUGAGCUUGGCUUUCAGGGCCGGGAACACCUCCAAAACGGGCCAAAUAGUGUUGGAAACUCUUUACUGGCUUGCUCUCUGUUCUUGGCUGAUCUUGGGAUCAAGAAAGGCUGUUCAACAAUCGGGAGGGGCGGAAACAGUAAGGUUGAACUGGUAACGGCUGUAGCAAGCCUAGUGGACGAAAUUGGUGACGUAUGGCAGUCCGCAGUGGUCCGACGGCUAGGGGGAAGACUUUGGGACGUUGCUGGGGGCAUGGGGACGUCCAACGAGCGGAGGAUGGCACUGCGGCAGGGUGAGGCGAGACGGUGUGCGCGCAGGGCAGAGAUGGCGUGUGGUGGUCCAAUGGGCAGCUAUGGCGACGAGGGCUUCAUAGCUAGUCUUCUCUGCGGCUGAGGGGUUCAAGCAGCACAAAUGGAAGGGAAAUCAGGUUGGUUGACCGGCCUUGAGAGGGAGGAAGAGAUGGAGGAGAGAAGGAGGGAACAAAGGGUCCACCUCUCUUAUUCUCAACUUCUUGGUCCCCUUGACCAUCCACUGCCACCAGCUGGUCCCAUGGCCCAAAAUCAACCACCAAGACUCUUUUCUAGAAGCUCGGGAUUGUCCAAAUGUCGUGGGUGGUGGGGACACACGAAUUUGGCUCGGAUUUCUCUCCAAUUGGACGCCAUUCCUUCUUAAUUCAACACAAACUGGCCUUUAUAAAUUCAAUUGACACAUCACCAAUUCAAUUGGUAUUUUUCCUCACCAAUUGAUCCCAUGUGCUUCUCGAUUGUGCGAUAAAAAACGGUCCCCAACAUUUUCUAGACAAAAACAGCCCUACCUCUACUUUUUCUCAAAAAGUCUCGGUUUGCAGAAAAAUCUUCUAAAACUGAGUUGACAUUCCUAAAAUGAUUUAUAACAUAAUAGAAUUAGAAAUCGCAUUCAAAUUCGCGAUUAAUUUCAAUUCGGCAUGAUUUUAGCGUGACCUAGGCUACUAGGUAGCUUUUAGAAAUUUUUAGUAUAAAUGACCCGUGGUCGACUUUUUUCAAACCACAAUAAACUCACUCAACACAGUGGUGACUCUUGGUUGUUAUGAAAAUCUCAAUGAUUCAAAUAUGGACACAGGGUACCAAAAGGAUAGAAAAAUCAGUCUAGUGUCGGCCGACAAGAAUUUUCCAAAUUAGUGGAGUCACUCAUGUUUAGCCACACAUCUCAGUUGAACCAACCUAUCUUUAAUCUCUAAUCGAUUUUUAAUUGUGCCGUAAUGACCUUUAAAGAUGAGCACGGUCGAGUAGCCGAUUCAUGAUCGAAUUCUCAAGUCUAUUGCAUUAAAAUUCCUUAAUUGUUUCCCCAGAUGGUCUAGUUAUCUCGAGAGUGAUCAGUUUUGAGAACAGCCCUAUAAGCGCGUCGGUGAAACGCUCGAUUAAUUUAAUUGAAAGCAUAAUCGAAAAAUCAAUGAUGUCACAACUCUUCCGCUCUUAUAAAAAUUUCGUCCUCGAAAUUUAAACCAUUACAAUACUUAAUAAAAAAUGUGGGGGUCCAACUGUCUUAUCGACUCUUCAGUCUCCCAUGUUGUUCCUUCAGUAGCGUGGUGUUACUAGACUACUUUGACCAAUGGGAUGAUUUUUGUACGUAGAACUUGCUCUCUUCUAUCCACGAUCUGAAUUGGGCUUUCAACAUAUGACACUCAGUCAUUCACGUCCAAUUCUUCAAAAUUAAGCACGUGGGCCGAGUUAGGCUCAUACUUCCUCAACAUCGACACGUGAAAGACGUCGUGCACUUGCGCCAAUCUAGGUGGCAACGCAAGACGACACACUAGGGUCUUAAUUCUCUCUAGAACUUCAAAUGGACCUACGUACCUCGGACUCAAUUUACCUUUCUUACCAAAGCAUGAAGUUCCCCUCAUUGGCGACACUUUCAGAAAAACGUGAUUACCAACUUGGAAUUCCAAUGGUCUCCGACGCUUAUUUGCGUAACUUUUUUGUCUGCUCUGAGCGGUCUUUAAUCUACCUUUGAUUACUACAACGUCAUUCACUGACUGCUAGACCAACUCUGGGCCUGCAAUCUUUCUUUCCCCAACUUUAUCCCAACACACUGGUGUUCUGCACACUGUACCAUACAACGCUUCAAAAGGAGCCAUCUGGAUGCUCUACUGAUAACUAUUGUUGUAGGCAAAUUCCACAAGGUGAAGCUAUUCUUCCCAACUUCCUUUAAAAUCUAGCACACAAGCUCGCAGCAUGUCCUCAAUGGUUUGAAUUGUUCUCUUAGACUGGCCAUCCAUCUGAGGAUGAUAUGUUGUACUAAACUACAGUUUGGUACUUAAAGCACUCUGCAAACUCUUCCAAAAAGUGGCAGUAAAUCUCAGGUCUCUAUUUGAAGUUAUCGUCACCGGCACUCCAUGCAGACGAACUACUUGAUGCACGUAUAGAUCUAUGUGUCCAUCCAAACUGAGGUCUUUUCAUACUACAAUGAAGUGAGCCGACUUUAUCAAUUUGUCGACCACUACCCAAAUCAAAUCAUUACCUCUUUGACUCCUCGAUAGUCCGGUCACGAAAUUGUGGCAUCCCAAAAUUUCAUGGCAAUUUCUAGAGGCAUUAUGACUUAUGGAAAAGUGAAUGAUUGUAUCGUUGAAGUAUGUUGUGGCCACUAGACCAAAGAAUUGUAAUAAAUUAAGGCCAAGCAGUCUAUUGGACAAUUAUUUGAUGGGGAAAAUUUAAUUCUUGGCCGUGCGUUUUAUAAGUUGGAUUUUAUUAAUUUGUGUUACAAAAUUUUAUGGCCAACUAAAAUGCAGUUAAGUAUUUUUAUAAGUGGGGAAUUUAGGUUAGAUCUUUUAAAGGAGAGUGGGCCGAAAUUCUUAGGCCAAGCCGACCCAAAAACCCAGUCCACAACCCCACCAUUCGACUGGCCCAUGAAGCCCAAGAGGGGGCUGCCGUCGACCAAGGGGGAAGGGGGGGGAACCGGUUUGCAUGUCUCUCCAUUUGUCCCAUGAAGAAAGCCAAAUGUCAAAGCAUGCAAAGCUAAUGAUGAUUAAUCAUUGAGGGGAAGAAAUUAGUGAGGGGAAGGGGGCGGAUUACUCGAGAGAUUGAACUGAGAGAGAGAGUGACCGUCCGAGAGAGAGAGAGAGAGAGAGAGAGAGAGAGAGAGAGAGAGAGAGAGUGAAACAAGAGAGGGAGAGCUAGCGAGCGAGAGAAGAAGGGGAAGAGGGAGGCCGUUCGCUGCCGUUCGUCGCCGCCGUCAAGCCGCCGGGUCCCGCCUUGCCCCGCCAUCUUUGCUUGCUGUGUUGUGCUCGGAUUAGAGGCAAGUAGAGUCCAUAAAAUUACCCUUUGCUUGUUGUGAUAUGUGUUGUGAGGGAUGAUAAACUUUGGUUGUAGUAGAAGUGAAGAAAUUCGAAGCUCUGGGGAAGAAUAUGGUAGCCUUGCAUUCUGUUUUCUAGAAAGGUAGUCCGACCUUUGAUGAAUUCGUGAGCUGCAUGCAACUUUUUAGUUGGAAUCUCACUUCGACUUCUUGAUGAAAGUUGUAGAGAACUUCUUGGAGAGUAACAUAUCAAAAUUUCAGAAGAAAUGAACAAGUAUAGACCGGUGAAAAUAGUUUUUUUUAAGAAGUUAGAUCUGGAAAUCGUAAUGCUGACCUAGUGUGAUUCUGUGAAUUUUAUAAAAUUUUCCGGUUGAAAUUUGAUCUCGUUUUCUGAAUGAAAGUUGAAGAUGACAUGUUAAAAAGUAACAUACUAAAAUUUUAGAGGAAAUGGAUGAGUUUAUGUUAGUGAAACAAUCUUUAUCCAAAGCGGUUAGAACUGGAAUUCGGUGCCGAGGGUUAUGGACGGUUAUGGUUAUUAUAUUUUUUAAUCUAUCAAAAAUAUGGUUUCGAGUUCUUCAUGAAAUAUUUACUUCUGGAUUUUUUCUAUAUCAUAUAAAAAAUUUCAGAAUUUUUGGAGUUGAUUUAGGAUUUUUACUGAAUUUGUGAAUGAAACUGUGUAUGGCAAUAUUCCGAAAUUAUAAAGACUAUGAUGUGUGAACUAUACCAAAUUGUAUGAUGUUCUUUUGAUAUGGUGUUCUACAUGGAAUAUUUUCCUCUAUAUCUUGUAUAUAACAUGUCGAAUGUUUAGAAUUUAUUAAGGCUGUUUACUAAUUUUUCAAGUGUUAUAACCAAAGGAGUGCAAUCUGUUUUUAUCCGAAAUUUGUUGCAUUUUCAAAAAUAAAUGAAAUUGCUCCAUGUGAUAUAAUGUCUUGAGUGAUUGAUUAUGCUGCAUAUGUGGUGACAUGGCAUGUUAUAUGACAUCAAAAGCUGGUUGAGACAUUUGAUAUUGUUGCAUGAAAUGCCAUGUUGAAAUUGAGAUACAUGUGUGAAUAUAAAUUGAGAUAAUAACGAGACCAUUGGAGGUGUGAGCCGACGAUGCCUUGGGAGUGUUGGGAUGCCCAGAGUAUGGGUGCCAGAUGCCCGGAGUGUUGGGAUGCUCGGAGGUGUGUGUCGGAAGCCCUGGAGGUGUGUGCCGGGGGGAUUCCUCGUGAUGCCAAUUGGGGUACGAGAUGCUCGGAGUGUAUGUGCUGGACGCCCGGAGGUGUGUGCCGGAGGCUCCUCGCGAUGCCAGGUUGGAUGCGAGCGAUAAAUUGUGGGAUGCAAACAUUGGUCCCUGGGAAAAAAUGAUGUGAUCUAAUUGAAAGAUAAAUAUCGAGAAUGGAAUCAUGCGCAUGGAUGUGUACAUAUGGCAAGGGACGAACCUCAUGAAAAUGCAAGCAUGGAGUGCAUGGUGGUAUAUGCACGUUGCAUGGUGAUAUAUGCAUGGCUGCUUGAUGAUAUAAGUACAAGUGCAUGGUGAUUUAUGCAUGUUGUAUGGUGAUAUAUGCAUGGCUGUAAGGUGAGGUAUGUUUGAAUGCAUGGAUCAUAUGUGUUUUAUUCAUGAUACCUCGAUUGUUCUGUUUGAUGCAUUGUGUAGUUUGGUGGAUCUUUACUGCUAAAUGGUUGUACUUACCUCUUUGGGGAUUAACAUUUCAGAUUAGAAAGAUGCCUCUUUCACUAGUUGUGCGUGGUACCUUCUAUGGCAUACCUACUAACGUUGAGGUGGAGUGCAUAGAGCAUUCUUGUAUUAGUGUACCUGGUCUGGUGUAUGUCUGAGUCCGUGUCUUGGUGAUGUACGACAUGGGUUCUGCUGAUGGCCCUGUUAUCCAAGAGUUUUUGUCUGUUCACGUUCGACGCAAUGGGGUGAUGCUAGGGAUGUCGCCACUGCCGCCGCCCGAUGCAUCGUGUUGGGUGUGAUGGCACAUAUGAUUGAUGGGAGCUAACACUUUUUGGGGAUAGCCGACGCUUGUUGAUGGAAGGAAUUACAUGUUUGAUGUAGGGUCAAGUUCUCUUUUGAGUUAUAGCCAAGUAUAGUUAAAAAUGUAGGCCUUUUGUUGUACUGACCGGAAAUGUUCAUUGUGAAAAUAUAAAUAAAAGUGACUCGGCUUUGUCUUUUCAUUUGGAGCGUAGUUGGUGUGCAUUGCAUUAUUGUUAUUGGAGUAAGGGAUGGUGAGACUCGUUUAUGCUUCCACUAAUGAGCUGCGCCGGGACCUUUACAAAAUAAAAAGUGGGAGAAGAAUUUUAUUGAUAAACCCCUAUGAACUAUGAUUCCACUUUAAUUAAAAAGUUACAAGGAUUGGUAUGUAGUAGGAUAAGUGAUAAGUACCGGUGGAGACCCUAACAGAUCGGGGGCCGUCGAGGGGUGCCACAGAAAUCCAUCGUGAUAUGUUCCCAUUUCCACUCUGGGAUCUCGAGAGGUUAUAGAAGUCCUCCUGGUUUGCAAUGCUGAGCUUUGACCUGCUGACACGUCAAAUACUUGGCGACAUGCUUGGCGAUAUUCGCCUUCAUACCUGACCAUCAAUAGUGUUGACGUAGAUUCUAAUAUAUCUUGGUGCUACCAGGAUGAAUGGUGUAAUUGCUACGACGUGCUUCUAAUAAAAUAUCCCCUCUAAGCUCCACAUCGUCAGGUACAACCAAACGUCCUCGAAACCUCAUUAUUCCUUCAUCAGAAAUCUGAAAGUAAGCCUUUCUUUUCUUAGUGUCCUCUUGAUGAAUUUUCUGAACAUUUGGGUCUGUCGGUUGGAGUAACUUAAUUCUGAUCUGGACAUUCGGUUCAAUUUUGAGGGUGGCCAUAAGACUCGAAAGGUGGCCUACCUCAAACUUGAAUACUGAAUCUCGAGCUCUCUCGAUUAGAUUCCACUCCUUAAUUAGUACAUGAGCAACUGAAGACUUUCGACUUAAAGUAUCGGCGAUCUUAUUCACCUUCCCCGAGUGAUAUAGGAUAUCACAGUCGUAGUCCUUCAGUAAUUCCAUCUCUUAGCAUUGUCUCAUGUUCAACUCCUUUUGAGAGAACAUGUACUUGAGGCUUUGAUGGUCCGUGAAAAUCUGGAAUCUUUCUCCGCACAAAUAGUGUCUCCAAAUCUUCAAGGCGAAAAUAAUUGCCGUGAGUUCUAAGUCAUGCGUCGGAUAGUUUUGUUUAUGAAGUCUCAACUGAUGGGAAGCGUAUGCAACAACUCGGCCAUGUUGCAUCAGCACGUAACCCAAUCCUUUGAAUGACACAUCACUAUAGAUCUUGAAUCCUCCAGGACCAGAUGGAAGAGUCAGCAUAGGUGCGGUAAUUAGCUUUUGCUUCAGCUCUUGGAAACUACGCUCGCACUUGUCUGUCCACACAAAUUUCUCUUCUUUCUUCAGGAGUCUUGUCAAUGGCGACGUUAGUGAUGAAAACACUUCCACAAAUCGUCUGUAAUGACCUGCCAAACCCAAAAGCUUCUGAUUUCUGUCAAUAUAGUCGAUCUUGGCCAAUUGAUCACUGCUUCGAUCUUGCUCGGGUCCACCAAGAUUCCUUCGCUUGAAAUCACAUGCCCUAAGAAAGCAACGCGAGUCAGCCAAAACUCGCACUUGCUGAACUUGGUGUACAACUGAUGGACUCUUAGCGUUUGCAAUACUAAUCUCAAAUGACUCUCAUGCUCCUCAUCACUUCUCGAAUACACUAGAAUAUCAUCGAUGAACACGAUGACAAACCGACCUAGAUAUUCCUUGAAUACUUGGUUCAUCAUAUCCAUGAAGGUAGCUGGAGCAUUCGUCAACUUGAAUGGCAUCACUGUGAACUCAUAAUGACCAUACUAAGUACGAAAUGCUAAUUUUGGAAUGUCCUCCUUCCUGAUCCUCAGCUGAUGAUAUCUUGUCCUCAAGUCGAUCUUUUAAAAUAUCAACGCUCCUUGCAACUGAUCAAACAAGUCAUUGAUCCUCGGGAGUGGAUACUUGUUCUUGAUCGUUACUUGAUUGAGUUGCCGAUAGUCGAUGCACAGGCGUAACGAACCAUCUUUCUUCUUUACAAACAGAAUUGGCGCUCCUUAAGGUGAUGCACUGGGAUGAAUGAAUCCCUUAUCCAAUAACUUCUACAUUUGCACCUUCAGUUCCUUCAACUCAGAUAACGCCAUUCGGUAAUGAGCCUUAAAGAUUGGCUCUAUCCCAAGUGCUAACUCAAUCACGAACUCGAUUUCUCUCUCUAGCGGUAAUAUUGGCAAUUCCUUUGGAAAGACAUCAAGAAAUGCUUGCACCACAGCAAUGUCUUCCAUCUUUAGCUCCUCAACUGUCGUAUCCACGACAAUUGCUAGGUACCUUUGACAACCCUCAUCUAACAAGCGAGUUGCCUCUGGCGAUGAGAUCAAGAUAAUCGAGGGUCCUCCUCGACUCCCGACAAACUCGAAGUUCUUACCCUCUAACGGGUCAAACUGAAUUGCCUUGCGAUAGCAGUCCAUCUUAGCUCGUUGCUUGGUGAGCCAGUCCAUACCAAUGAUCAAAUCACAAUUAUACAUGGCUAGGACUAACAAGUCUAUUUUCGCCACUCGCUCACCAAUUGCUAACUUGUAACCAAAACAACUCAAAGCAGCUAUCACUUUAUCCUUCAAUAAUGUAGAUAUACUAACUGUCGACUCUAAUAACAUAGGACUUACUCCUAUCAACUUAACAUAUUGCUUGGAAAUAAAGGAAUGGGUUGCUCCUGGGUCGAAUAAAGCGUAAGCAAGAUGGUCGUUCAGCGAAACCAUAACUGUGAUCACGUUAGGUGUAGCCUCUGCCUGACCUUGUGUGAUGGCAUACAUCAUGCCUUGAACUGGGGGUCUAAGUUAUCCUCAUUGCGGCGCAUUCUAAGGUGCGUACCCUCUAAUCUAACCCAUCUAUGGCGGUGGUGGCAACUGCGGUUGUCCUCUUAGUAGGUUAAGACAAUCUCUAAUCAUAUGACCCCGUUGGCCACAUCCAUAACAAACACCCGGUCUUUGAGAACACAAUGCUGAACCAUGUCACCUUCCACACAGACGACAUAUACCAUUUUGGCUCGGCCCUGACUUUCCAACUCCACUCUUCCUGUUGGGUGGAACCUGGAAUCUACCUCCAGUCAUGGGCCUCUUCCCAUGACGGAUCCCUUCUCGGUGUGAAGUAAACCUCAAUCCAGACGAGGUGACUUGCUCAUUCAAACUCCUUUCAAGCAGUUGUGCUCGACGAUAGAUUUCUCAAUAAUCAAUCAGAUCGAACGACACUAGCAGUUGUUUCAAUUCUUGUCAAAUGCCAUUCUUGAAUCUUCGAGCCUUCUCUUCAGGAUCUUUAAUCAGCCUCGGAGCAUGCUGAGAAAGCUUCGCAAAUUUGACCCCAUACUGGUCAAUAGUCAUUGUCCCCUAACGGAGAUGCUGAAACUCUUCUAUUUUCUGCUCCCUGGCGUUCCUUGAGAAGUACUGCUCAUUGAAUGCCCUGAGGAAGGCAUCCCAUAGCAGGACCACUCCUCCUAGAAAUAUGGUCUCUCUAGCGGCUCUCCACCAGGUAUUGGCAUUACCCUGCAACUGAUAGAUUGCCAGGGUUACCUUCUCUUCUUCAGUGCACAUUAAAAGUGCAAAAGCCUUCUCCAAAUCUUGGAUCCACAUAGACGUGGCCUCGAGAUCUCUAGUACCGGUGAACCUUGGUGGGUUCAGCUUCAAAAACCGCUCCACCAACUUAUGUAUUGGCCUCUCUUUUUGCACCUUCUCAGGCUGGACCUCAAUAGGUGUGGCAACAGGUGCGGCGGCGGGUGCGGCCUUAGCAGCGACAGCAACGGCAGCAGUAGCAGCGGUGGUAGCAACAUCGGCUUGAUUCUGGGCCCGCUGCCUUAGCACUUCUCUCAUGGCCUCAAGCGCCUGCAUGAUCCCUUCGAUUCAAGGAUCACCAGGGGUUGCUACCCUGGCACCAAUGGGAGGUGGUGCCACUCCACUCGCGCUAGCCUGAGCUGGUGGUCGACCUCAGCCUCCUCGGGUACCGACCCUAGUCAGCAUCCUACCCUAAGUCACAACCCUGACGGUCCUCUUGCUAGGAGUCCUUUGCUCCUGAUCACUCAUGACUCAGCUUUAUCUACUGAAACCUACUUCCAAUUCCACACCAAAUUAGAAAUAGAGUGAUUUAAACAACAAGCAAUUCUACUAAUCAACUAUCACAGACAUGCACCAGCAUGAAUUUAAAGGUCAUUCCUAUUACUAUCCAAUAAAAUAUUGGGAUAGAAAAGUAGGGCCAUAAACCUCGAACCUGAAAAACAACCACACUUAUAUACAUAUACAACAACUGAGCUAUACAUAUACAUACAACACAAACUAACAAGUCAGGUUCUACUCAAAGCCAGUUCAACAAACAGGGUUUGCAAAUAGGGGUGGGGUUUUCGAUCUACUUUGGGUCAUCCUCCUCGACAAUCUCUCCUUCUUUUUCACUCCAGCUGGAGCCCACAACUAAGUACACCGAAGAAUCAAGAUCACCCCCAAGCUUGGGAUCCUUCUUAUCCAUCACCAAUCCACUCUUAGGGUCUAUUGUACCCAUUCUGAACGCAACCUCCAUCACAUACAGAGGUGCAUCAGAUUCUGGUACCGGGCCCUCUCUUCGUCCAUCACUAUAAUGGCAAUACCACGCUCGGUAUUCAUGGGGCACCUUUUUGGGUAAGCCCGCAUCAACCUAGAUUAUGGAUUUCACCAUUACAUACUCUAACCCUUCAGGGUGCCUGGUGAUCGGAAUGUGAUAACCAUGCUCUGUGAACUUCUUCAGUUGACCAAAAUGCUUGGGAGGAGCUGGAGGUGCUGCCAUCUAUGGACUUGAAAUGUUAUCCCACAACGGGGUGAGACGAUGUUUUAGCGAGUUCCACCCCUUAAGACCCAACUAGGAAGCAAAUACGUCAUAAGGGUUGCCUAUGCACACACAUGAGUCAGAGGACUUACCUUGGCCUUAGUUCAUUCUUGUCAAACAAUACAAUUCAAAUAAUUAUUUCAUCAGAUCGAACUAUCGAUCAAUCGACUCAGUCGAUUCCAUGUCAUCACGACCUUCCCCGGUCAUCUUGAUCAAUACUAUCUAUAAAGUCCGACUAUAGUCUAGGACUGCUCACCCAAAGCUAAAAAUAGAAAGUAUAGCUCACCCAAAGCUGAUAAUAUAGUAUACUUUUCACCUAAAGUUAACAUAUCGCCCGUAGGCUAAUAUAGUAUACUAAUAAUGCUCACCCAAAGCUAAUAACAAGAUAUACUACUCACCCAAAGCUGACAUAUUGCCUGUAGGCCAAUAUAGUAUGCCAGUAUACUGCUCACCCAAAGUUGACAUAUUGCCCGUAGGCCGAUAUAGUAUACCAUCCCAACCAUCCAACAUUUCCAUCAUUUUUAUCAUACCCGAUAAAAUAUCGUGUGUGGAUACACGGUCGGCCUUAGCCAAAAUAUAAUAAUUUUCAAUUCAUAAAUCCCACCAUUUCUAAUAGUCCACCAAAAUAUUUUUGGCGUUGUAAACCGACACUCGGUUAUUUUCCAAUCAAUUACGGAAAUUAAAUCAAUUUAAGAAUAAAACCCUAAAAUGCAAUUCAUGCACAAUCAGCACAAAUUAAAACUCAAUUAAAUAAACAUAUUACAUCACAGUAAUCAGCAUAAAAUUCCGAUCACCGACUAUCCUAGUCUAAUUUUCGAAAAAUAUAUAAAUAAUUAAAUAAUUACAUAAAUUAAUUAUUAAAUACCGAAAAUGCGACUUAGGCUCGAAAAAGCCUAAUUGAACGCCGAGACGGACCCGAAAAAUUUCUGAAUCACUCUAGAUAAAUACUAGAGUUUGUCUAGGCCCUAAUUGCUCUAACUAUCCACUUAAUAUGCAUCUGUAAAUAAUUAAAUUCACUAAUCUAAUCUAACUAUCCACCUAAAUAAUGCUUAACCUAAACUAAUCAACCCUUAAGCGCAUUAACCUACUAAGCGAGGAUUAAUUAGUUUUAAACUCACUUGCUCGGCGAUCCGAUGGGAUCAAAUUGAAGAGGGCGCGACGGGGGACAAUCCUCUCCAAAGCGAGCUUGGCUUCCAAGGCCGGGAACACCUCCAAAACAGGCCAAAUAGUGUUGGAAACCCUAUGUUGGCUUGCUCUUUGUUCUUGGUUGAUCUUGGGAUCGAGAAAGGCUGCUCAACAAUCGGGAGGGGCGGAAACAACAAGGUUGAACCGGCAACUGCUGCAGCGAGCCUAGCAGAUGAAAGCGGCGACGUAUGGCGGUCCACGAUGGUCUAACCGCCAAAGGGAAGACUUUGGGAUGUUGCUAGGGUAGGGGGACAUUUAAGGAACGACAGAGGACGGCGGUGCGGCAGGGUGAGGCAAGACGGCGCACGAGCGGGGCGAGGACGGCGUGCGGUGGUCCAAUGGGCAGCUACGGCGACGAGGGCUUCACGGCUGGUCUUAUCUACGGCUGAGGGGUUCGAGCAGCACAAAUGGUAGGGGAAUCAGGCUAGUCAACCGGCCUUAAGGGGGAAGAAGAGAUAGAGGAGAGGAGGGAAUAAGGGGUCCACCUCUUUCUUAUCCUCAACUUCUUGGUCCCCUUGACCAUCCACCACCACCAGCUGGUCCCAUGUCCAAAAUCAGCCACCAAGGCUCUCUUCUAGAUGCUCGAGAUGGUCCAAAUGUCGCGGGUGGUGGGGGCACGAAUUUGGCUCGGAUUUCUCUCUAAUUGGACACCAUUCCUCUUAAUUUAACACAAACCGACCUCUAUAAAUUCAAUUGACACAUCACCGAUCCAAUUGGUAUUUUUCCUCACCAAUUGAUCCCACUUGCUUCGUAAUUGCACGAUCAAAAACGGUCCCUGACAUUUUCUAGACAAAAAUUGCCCUACCUUGACUUUUUCCCAAAAAGUCUCGGUUUACAGAAAAAUCUUUUGAGACUGAGUCAACGUUCCUAAAAUGAUUUGUGACAUCACAGAAUUUUUAAUUUCUGAAAUCAGAUUCAAAUUCGCGGUUAAUUUCAAUUCGACACGAUUUUAGCAUGACCUAAGCUACCGAGUAGCUUUUAGAAAUUUUUAGUGCAAAUGACUCGUGGUCGAUUUUCUUCGAGCCACAAUGAAUCCACUUGACACAUUAGCGACUCUUGGUUGUCGUGAAAAUCUCGAGAAUUCAAAUAUGGACACAUGGUACCAAAACAAUAGAAAAAUCAGUUUAGUGUUGGUCGACGAGAAUUUUCCAAAUUAGUAAAGUCACCCACGUUUAGCCACAUAUCUCAGUCGAACCGACUUAUCUCUGAUCUCUAAUUGAUUUUGAACUAUGUCGUAAUGACCUUUAAAGAUGAGCACGGUCGAGUAGCCGAUUCCUGGUCGAAUUCUCAAGUCUAUUGAAUUAAAAUUCCUUAAUUGCUUCCCCAAAUGGUCUAGUUAUCUCAAGAAUGAUCAGCUCUGAGAAUAGCCCUAUAGGUGCGUCGAUGAAAUGCCCAAUUAAUUUAAUUGAAAGCAGAAUCGAAAUAUUCAGGAUGUCACAAGAAUAGUUACAAAAUAAAUGCUUAGUAGCUUGACCAAAUCAUAAAAAGAGAAGAAGUUUUUUUCUUUUAAUUGAAAAUUUUCAAUUAGGAUAAGAACUAAAUUGGUUGUGUAUAAAUUCAGGUCGAACUUAAAUUCUAUAAAAAUUGAUGACAUAAUAUCAAUUUUUUAGUAAAUAGAUUAUUAUCACUCAUCUAUGAGCUCAUGUGACCGUGUUUUAUGGUUAGAAGGUUGUCCUUGUCAGUUCUUUGAUAUAAAUAAGUUAAUAUAAAACCAUAAUUUGUCCCUGUAGCUUUAAACUUUUGAUGGCUAAAUAUACAAUCCUUUAAAACGAAUUAUACUCGUUGGUCUCAUACUUUUAAGAAAUAACAUAUUUUAGGGCUUUGUUACGUGGUUUUAGUAUCGCAGCUAGUUUCUAAACUAUUUUUUUUUUAAUGAAAACUCAAUUACUUUUGUCAUAUUUUCAUUCAAAAUCAUAUGAAAAUAUCAAAUCAAGAAUAACUAUCAAUUGGUGAUUUCUACAUUUAGAAAUUUGCCCAAUUACAUUGACAUUUCCAUUAACAGAUAUACUUUUAAACCUUCUAACUACAACUUUAACUCACUAUUCAUAGGCAAAAUAUUCUGGAAAUUUACCGCAAUUCUCUUGAGUCUAGCAAUCCUAAAAAGUUCGCAUCACAUUGAUUGGAAUGGGUUGUUGGAAUCGCAGGAAGGCUAUUAGGCAUCGAGGCUGUCAAAUUUCAACUCUUAAACAUUAAGUGCCUUUAGAAAAAGCUCCUUCAAUUAUUGGUAAUAAAACAACCGAUAACGAUUAUAAACACUUACACACAUAUAAAUGUGAUGUAUCAAAUUGAUAAUUCGCAUCAUUUAAAUUUUAGUUGAAAUGGAAAUGUGAAAAAUUGUACUUAAGAUCCCAUCGUGAAUGGUACACAUACUAAUAUUGCAGCAAAAACAAAGUAGAAGAACAAAGAGCCCAUUUACUGUACAUUUUAGUGUCAAAAGUUUCAAAAAGUAUAAGUAUUAAAAUAAUAGGAAAAUUGAAUAUUUAAAUGCCAAUGGUGAGAAAUUCCGGCCAAAUUGCUAACGUGGCAUUCUUCCGGCGAGAGGAGUGCAAAAUGACAUUGUGCAAUGAAGUGCUCCGACUUGUAUGUUUGGUAAUAUCUAUUAUAAAAUUACGACAAACCUAACAAUUGGGUGGGAUAACUUUUAAAUAGCUGUUAUAACGGUAGAGAUGUUGCGGCUAUAAGGUGAUUGUCAACCACCGUGUAAAGAUUGCGACACCUAUUUUCACAGUUAAAGCUGCAAUGAUGAAAAUGUACAAAAAAUAUAAUGAAUUAGAAUACUCUGAAAAGUACAAGGACUAAAAUGGUGAUUUGCAUUUAGAGGCUUAUAUAUGGAGGAGCCACAUGACAUACUAAUAUUGAUUAAACAAUUUUCAACAAAUUUUAAAUAGAAAUUUGAUAAAAAGAAUUAAAUUAUCAUGCCAGAAUAGUGUGAUUAGAAUCAUAAUCAAAGAAAGAAAAAGGGUCAAAAGUAUUCUUCCAAAUAUAUAGGUUCCAGGAAUGUAAUUAUUCUUGGAAUUAAUUAUGGAUCUAGUGUCAUUUGUUGCUGUUGAUAUCUCCAAGAAUAAUUUGUCUCGAAGAUCGGGUGCUAUUUCGACCCACAGCUGGGUGCUAUUUCGAAUCCUUCUUAAAUCAAUGCCUAGAGCUCAUUUGAGCGUGGUGGGGGAGAUGGAGCCCGCGCCCGCGUGGGGCUUUACCCGUUUCUAUCCCCACGGCAAAAACGGCAAGACCUCUCUCAUGAAUGAGAAAGUAGGGAAAAGUGUUAAAAAAUUCCUAAACAUUUUGCAUUUGUGCCAAUUUAGUCCUAAACCUUUUUACGUUGUGCUAAUUCAAUCAUUUCCGGUUAAUUUUGGCCGAAUUUUGCUAACUGGACGCAGGCCUACUGAUAUGGCCAGAUUGGUGCUGACGUGGACAAUUUUUAAUAAUAUAUUAAUAUUUUUGAAUUUUUGAAUUUUAUUUUUUUAUUUAUUUUUACUUCUCCUCCUUCUUCCUCCAGCCAGUCACCAGACCUUGGUGACUGACCAAAGGCGACAGCCAGCGAGGUCAAGGUUGAGUCUCGACGCCCAACGCGAGGUUGCCCUCGCGGCCAUUGGCAAGGUCGACCUCCACCUCGCCGGCCGUCGCCUCUGGUCGGCCGCCGAGGUCCAGCGACCGGCUGGAGGAAGAAGGAGGAGAAGAAAAAAAGAAAAGAAAAAAAUUCAAAAAAAUGAAAUAUAUUAUUAAAAAUUGUCCACGUUAGCGCCGAUCAGGCUACGUUAGCUGGCUGGCGUCCAGUCAGCAAAAUCUGGCCAAAAUUGGGCAGAACAGACUAAGUUGGCACAACAUAAAAAGGUUUAGGACUUAAUUGGCACCAAAAAAUAGUUUAGGACUAAAUUGGUAUAAAUGCAAAAGGUUUAUGACUUUUUUUAACACUUUUCCCUGAGAAAGUAUGUAUAUGUAUAUACCACCUUCUUCACUAAGGCUUCUAGUUCCCCCUACCCCAAAAAAAAUCCCAACAAAACAAAAACAAGAACCAAAACAAAAAUAGUAAAAAAGAAAAAAGUUCAUCUGCUCGGGCAAAUAAAAAGGCAUUUCAUAUUUUCCCGAAUCAUUUCGAUAUCCUUCUUGAGAGUCGGACUUUGGAAGAGAAAUUACAGGCAGAGUCGAUUAGGGCAAAGAAGAGAUGCAUUGUCUCGUUCUUGGCAACCCUUUCGUGGCGCUUGUCGCACCGAUCCUUCUCGUUGUGCUCGCGCACAAGCUUUGGAGUAAGAGGAGAGCAACUGCGCAAAGAAACAAGAAAGAUCUGCAUCCUGGUACGCCUAGUCCUCCGAUCCAGCCCAACGGAAACGAUUUUGAUGUGUUCUUGAGCUUUAGAGGUGUAGAUACUCGAAACGGCUUCAUCGACCACCUCUAUUGCAGCCUCAUCGGUGCUAGAAUCUGUGUCUUCAUGGACGACAAUGAACUCCGCUUGGGUGAGGGAUUGAGCGAAGAGCUUAGGCAAGCCAUUAGUAACAGCAAUAUUUUGAUCCCUAUUAUCUCUGAGAAUUAUGCCUCUAGCAAAUGGUGCCUUCAAGAAUUGGUUUGCAUGAUGGAGUGCCGAAAACAAUGGGGACACAAAGUGUUUCCCAUAUUCUACAAAGUGGAACCCGCGGGGGUGCGAUUUGAAAUGGGUUGUUUUAGAGAGGCAUUUCAUAAUUACAAGCGGAGGUGUUUUGACCCAGAGGUUGUGGCCAAAUGGAAGGAAGCGCUUGUAGAAGUCAGUUCCUUGAGUGGAUGGGAAUCAGAGAAAUUUGCUAAUGGGUAUCUUCAUUCUUUAACCAACACCUUGUUUACUUUGAUGAUAUCAACACCAUACAAUCUUUUUUUUUUUUUUUUUUAUGGAUCCGAUUCAUUUGUUUUGAUGAUGAAAGUUUUUGGCUGUAAUAUUUUGCCUUCCUUUAUGCAAGGAUUAUCUAACUUAUAUUUUUGCUUAUUUCUACCUACAUAAAGGCAGCAUUACUGUGUUUACAUUUAUGAAUAAGAUUUGGAUAAUUAAGAUGACUGACGCCUCUAAAAGAACCAAAAAUAAAUAAAUAAAAGGAAGAAGGAGGAGAAAAACAAACUGCUUUUAAAGCUUCAUUAGCCUCAAUCUUUUUUCUAAUAGAAUACGUCAGGGUAAUCUUAAAAAGAAGUUAUGAGUGCAUCUUCUGGAGCAAUCACGGGAUUGCUUUACCCCCUUUCAUCUUAACAAAUAAAAUAGGAAUGGAAGUGGGGAAAAGAUUUGAAAGUUUUCCAAAUUACCCCCAAGUUCUAUUGUUUGUGCUAUCGUUAGAUAAUACUUAUGUCAUUGAACUCAUUUUCAUUUGACAGGAGAGAAGGAGAAUUGGUAAAAUCGGUUGUGCAAAAAGUUUUGAAAGAUUUGAAGGAGUUGGUUGCUGAUGAUUAUUUGGUCAGAAUUGAUAGUCCUGUGGAGGAGGUUAUGGAAUUGGUGAACAAGAAUGCUAGUGCUACCCUGUGUGUGGGAAUUUAUGGAAUUACGGGCAUUGGUAAGACUACUCUUGCUAAAGUCAUAUACAAUAAGCUGUCUGAUCUAUUUGUGCAUCGUAGCUUCAUUGCAAACAUCAGGGUAUCGUGCGAACGUCAUGGUAUUAAUUACUUGCAAAAUCAAUUAAUCUUUGAUAUGCGGAAAAGAGAAAUUCAAUUUUGCAAUAGCGACGAAAGAAUCAAGUAUAUCUCGUCUUGGUUUAAAGAUGAGAAAGCCUUCAUUAUUCUUGAUGACGUGGAUACCACUAGUUAGUUAGAGGCUUUGGCUGGAAAUCCUUACUGGUUUGGCUCAGGAAGUAGGAUCUUUGUUACCACUAAAAACGAGAGUGUUCUUGAUAGAGUGAACAUCAAGUCCAAGCGUGAGCAAAUGCAUGAGAAGCAAUCUCUUGUCCUAUUUUCUAGACAUGCAUUUCGAAGAGACCAUCUUCCAUAUGAAUUUUUAGCUCUCUCAAGUCUUGUGGUAUCUACAAUGGAAGGGAUUCCCUUGGCUGUCAAGUUUGUAGGUUCAAUUUUGUGUGAAAAACCAUCACGAAUAUGGAGAGAAACAAUACGAAAGAUGCAAAAUAUGCCUCAUAUGGGCGUGCAAGAAAAGUUCAGGAUAAUUUGUGAAGAAAUGGGGGAGGAUCGAAAAAAUGCGGAAGAUGCAUCUUCCGCUGCUACGCCUUGUCCUUCCAUCCUGCCAAGUGAAAGCGAAAAUGAUUAUGAAGUGUUCUUGAGUUUUAGGGGUGUAGAUACUCGAAGAGACUUCAGCGACUACCUCUACUGCAACCUCGUUGAUGUUGGAAUCCGUGUCUUCAAUGACGACAAUGAGCUCCGUGGGGGCGAGAGUUUGAGCGAAGAUCUUAUGCGAGCCAUUAGGAAUAACAAUAUUUUGAUCCCAAUUAUCUUUGUGAAUUAUGCUUCUGGCAAAUGGUGCCUUAAUGAACUUGUUGAAAUGAUGAAGUGCAAGAAUUGCUUAGGGCACAUAGUGUUGCCUAUAUUCUACAAAGUGGAACCUGCGGAUGUGCGAGAUCAAAAGGGUCAAUUUGGAGAGGCAUUUC
Molecule: long non-coding RNA, 39348 nt
Filed under: Eucalyptus grandis
Lineage: Eukaryota; Viridiplantae; Streptophyta; Magnoliopsida; Myrtales; Myrtaceae
Description: long non-coding RNA (EGRA_LNC005092)
Source: RNAcentral